AUACGGAGGGUGCAAACGUUGCUCGGAAUCAUUGGGCGUAAAGCGCGUGUAGGCGGCUAGUUAAGUUGAGUGUGAAAGCCCUAGGCUUAACCUAGGAAGUGCGCUCAAAACUGAUUGGCUAGAGUACGGGAGAGGGUAGUGGAAUUCCCGGUGUAGAGGUGAAAUUCGUAGAUAUCGGGAGGAACACCAGUGGCGAAGGCGGCUACCUGGACCGAUACUGACGCUGAGACGCGAAAGCGUGGGUAGCAAACAGGAUUAGAUACCCUGGUAGUCCACGCUGUAAACGAUGAGUGCUAGGUGUUGCGGGUUUUGACCCCUGCGGCGCCGGAGCUAACGCAUUAAGCACUCCGCCUGGGGAGUACGGCCGCAAGGCUAAA
RNAcentral lists this ribosomal RNA (377 nucleotides) under uncultured bacterium. Its description in RNAcentral is "bacterial SSU rRNA". It matches the Rfam family "Bacterial small subunit ribosomal RNA", at positions 523 to 898 of the family's 1533-position model. The record is from RNAcentral.